GCUGCUAUGGUGUAACAAACACAUCACAUUUUCGUUGUGGGGAUAAGACCAUUCUUUGGCAG
RNAcentral lists this transfer RNA (62 nucleotides) under Leptalpheus forceps. Its description in RNAcentral is "tRNA-Glu". The record is from RNAcentral. Lineage: Eukaryota; Metazoa; Arthropoda; Malacostraca; Decapoda; Alpheidae.